This 21-nucleotide non-coding RNA is filed under the name Caenorhabditis elegans. Lineage: Eukaryota; Metazoa; Nematoda; Chromadorea; Rhabditida; Rhabditidae. The record is from RNAcentral.
UGGUGAAUUAUUUUAGCAAUG